ACUCCUACGGGAGGCAGCAGUGGGGAAUAUUGCACAAUGGGCGCAAGCCUGAUGCAGCCAUGCCGCGUGUAUGAAGAAGGCCUUCGGGUUGUAAAGUACUUUCAGCAGUGAGGAAGGUGGAUAUGUUAAUAGCAUAUUCUAUUUGUACGUUAGCUGCAGAAGAAGCACCGGCUAACUCCGUGCCAGCAGCCGCGGUAAUACGGAGGGUGCGAGUGUUAAUCGGAAUUACGUGGCGUAAAGCGCAUGCAGGUGGUUUGUUAAGUCAGAUGUGAAAGCCCGGGCUCAACCUCGGAAUUGCAUUUGAAACUGGCAAACUAGAGUACUGUAGAGGGGUAGAAUUUCAGGUGUAGCGUGAAAUGCGUAGAGAU
Molecule: ribosomal RNA, 368 nt
Filed under: uncultured bacterium
Lineage: Bacteria
Description: bacterial SSU rRNA
Rfam family: Bacterial small subunit ribosomal RNA
Source: RNAcentral